AGUGAACGCUGGCGGUAGGCCUAACACAUUCAAGUCGAACGGCAGCACAGUAAGAGCUUGCUCUUACGGGUGGCGAGUGGCGGACGGGUGAGGAAUACAUCGGAAUCUACUUUUUCGUGGGGGAUAACGUAGGGAAACUUACGCUAAUACCGCAUACGACCUACGGGUGAAAGCAGGGGAUCUUCGGACCUUGCGCGAUUGAAUGAGCCGAUGUCGGAUUAGCUAGUUGGCGGGGUAAAGGCCCACCAAGGCGACGAUCCGUAGCUGGUCUGAGAGGAUGAUCAGCCACACUGGAACUGAGACACGGUCCAGACUCCUACGGGAGGCAGCAGUGGGGAAUAUUGGACAAUGGGCGCAAGCCUGAUCCAGCCAUACCGCGUGGGUGAAGAAGGCCUUCGGGUUGUAAAGCCCUUUUGUUGGGGAAGAAAAGCAGCAGGUUAAUACCCCGCUGUUCUGACGGUACCCAAAGAAUAAGCACCGGCUAACUUCGUG
Molecule: ribosomal RNA, 492 nt
Filed under: uncultured bacterium
Lineage: Bacteria
Description: partial 16S ribosomal RNA
Rfam family: Bacterial small subunit ribosomal RNA
Source: RNAcentral